UAUAGGAGGAUGACGUGCUAGCCAGGAAGAAACGUUUGGAACUGCGCGAUGCUGACGUCAGAGAGCUGCCUUUCCUUGUGCUGAUCUGUUAGUGUUGUAGCGGGGGUCCAAAAUGAUUAUAGGGCGAUUAGUGACCACAAGAAUUUCUCCAGUGGUGUUCAGGAACUUCCAGAAGAGAAAUGCAUACACCAGGAAGGCCAAUGUCAUAAGUGCGCCAGCGAGGAAUAAGAUUUCGAGAUUGGAGGCUUUCAUCCAUUCCGUUGUACUGUUUGGUGCCAUCACCGCUUAUCCUGCUUACGUCAUGAGGACACUGAAAACUGGAAAAUAAGCGCUCUGACAUCCGUAGAUAUAUACUGGAACAAACUGAAAAAUUAGCCCAUGGACUCAUAAUUGCAGGUGGAAUCUGCUUUAUUCCUAUAUGGGUUCUGACACACCUGCGUGACUACCAAGCCCCCAAGCAAUAAUAGACAAUAGAUGUAGCAAUUGGUUUUUGUGAUGAUACACAUGCUUGUAGGGUGAUUCAAAAGUAAUGAACACAUACUGUAAUUAUAUUGUUAAUAUCUGUAUUGGUAUUUAUUUUUUAAUUUGGAAUCGUGUGAAUGGAAAAAAUAGCUAUGUACAUUUAACUGUAUUAAUAAAGCAUUAACAAUAUUCACUGUCAAA
This is a long non-coding RNA of Cryptotermes secundus, 663 nucleotides long. RefSeq lists it as uncharacterized. The transcript has 3 exons. Lineage: Eukaryota; Metazoa; Arthropoda; Insecta; Blattodea; Kalotermitidae. The record is from RefSeq and is a predicted model, not a curated record.